UACGUAGGUGACAAGCGUUGUCCGGAUUUACUGGGCGUAAAGAGCGCGCAGGCGGUCGAUCAAGUCGAGUGUGAAAGCCCCCCGGCUCAACUGGGGGAGGGUCAUUCGAUACUGAUCGACUCGAAGGCAGGAGAGGGUAGUGGAAUUCCCGGUGUAGUGGUGAAAUGCGUAGAUAUCGGGAGGAACACCAGUGGCGAAGGCGACUACCUGGCCUGUUCUUGACGCUGAGGCGCGAAAGCUAGGGGAGCAAACGGG
Molecule: ribosomal RNA, 255 nt
Filed under: uncultured bacterium
Lineage: Bacteria
Description: partial 16S ribosomal RNA
Rfam family: Bacterial small subunit ribosomal RNA
Source: RNAcentral